Molecule: long non-coding RNA, 2536 nt
Filed under: Oryzias javanicus (javanese ricefish)
Lineage: Eukaryota; Metazoa; Chordata; Actinopteri; Beloniformes; Adrianichthyidae
Description: lncRNA (ENSOJAG00000022764.1)
Source: RNAcentral
CGGAUUUGACUGCAUGUGACUGAGGGUUAAACUACAACACUAUCCAGUACAUUGCAUAAAUAUGCAAGUAUAGCCAAACAACAUGAAUCCUUUACUUUUCCUCAGAGCUCUUGGGAUUACAGUUACUCCUCCAGAGGGGGAGACUAGAAGAGCAACGGAGGGUAAAAUACCUUACCUUGGUGAAGUAGGUAGUGAGGAGUUUCUCAUGAAACUCACAUCUCAGAUCACUGAAAUGGUUUCAGCGAAAAUCUCACAAGGUAAGAAUCCUGCCGCCGACCCCUUUAGCAAAGCUAAUAUAAGUUGUGAUUUGAGACAAGUUAGCACAGACAGAGAAAUCUCAUAAAACCUUCUGGAAUCUGGGUUAAAGUACUAACAAAUGCUGCUUUAGUUUUAGAUGUGUGGAUUAUGUUUUUGAAUUUAUGAUUGCAACAACUGAGGGAAUUUUUAUGUGAAGAUUUUUUUUUUUGUCACCCUUGUUAUUCUUUGUGCUUUUUCAUUCACUUAACUGAAAGUGCAAAAAAAAUGAGAAAAAAAACCUAAAUUAGUAGUUUUGGAAAAAAAAAUGUAUUUAUUAGUUUGUUAUAUUAUUUCAGUUUUUGUUUCCAUUUCUCCCUUAAAGACUGAAAGCGGAAGUUUAAUUUUACGUUUUAAAGACCAAUUUUAGAAUUGAAAAGAAAUUUCUAAGAUUGUUUCUUUUUCUGUUUGUGCAUGUGCGUCAAUAAUGAAUCGGACUCAGCGUUUCUAUACAUGAAUAAAUGUUUGUUUGUUGCAUUUUUCUGACUCUGCAUGUCAUUUUUAAUCUGCUGAUGCAAAAAAAGCUAAAAUAUUAAAAAAAUAAUCCAUGAAUGCUGUUUUGCUUAAAUCCCAUCAGGUUUGGUUGAAUUUGUUAAAUCAAAAUUUGAUUAUUUGUGUUUUAAUUAUUCAACACAUUGUGUUUUUAAAGGUAAUAUUUUUUGUUGUUGUUGUGGAUUUCUAAAUGAAACCAAACCAGUUUGGAUUUUAUGUGAAUUUUGAGCUAUUUUGCUAUAAAUUGUUAUUGUUUUAAACUUGUCUUUGUGUUUUACAGACAUAAACUUUAACCCUUUCCGUUAUGAAUCAAUCCUACCAAAUCAAUUCUCAUUCAACCAUUAAUUUGUUAUUCAGACAGUUUACAGAAUCAGGAAGUCCUCCAGUGGAUGAAAUCUUGGCCCAAAAAUUCCAGUAUGUAUCCAAAGUUUAACAGCAUCACAGUUUUUUUUUUAAAGAUAUUUAUGAAUUUAGACCAUGAAAAGAUUUUGCAGUGCAGGUAAAUAAUUUUUUUUUGCAGUGUCCUCCUUUCUGUGUUUAAUAUUGUGUGUUUCUGUGUCCUUUUAAAAGUGUUUAUGUCAUUGAAAUGCUGCUUCAUAUAUGAAAUACAUGCUCACUAUACAGAGACAUGUAUGUAAAAAGCAUGAUGCCACUAACAAAUAUUAUUAUAUUUAUUUUGAGACGUGUUACACUUAAAAUUUUGAAAAAUGAUAUCUGAACAAAAAACAAAACUUGAUUAAAAUCUAUAGAAAGUGUUUAUGAAUCUGAUUGAUCGUCAGUUGAGUUUAACAGAUUAAAUUCAGAGUUAAUGACUGACGCAGAAACGCGUUUUCUUUUUUUGCUGCUUCAGCAUCGUUGCGCGUACCAGGCGUCGACAGCGACGAUGAGACCAAAACGCCGUCGCCGUCUCCUCACCACGGCAGAUCCAGACCGCCCUCCCUCAUCGCCGACUCCUCCUCUGAGUCCGAUGAAGGAGACGCCCGAGGAGAGGUGAGAUAAUAUUAUUUCGCUUUUAAAUAUUAUUUCAUAUUUAUUCAAAAUGAAUGAUAUGAACUUAUCUAAAUAUACUUUCAGAUGUUCGACAUCUACGUGGCCACGGCGGACUACACGCCGACUCUCGCCUGCAAAGACUCCAUCUCUCUAAAGGAGGGCCAGUAUGUUGAAGUUCUGGAUUCUGCUCAUCCGCUCAAGUGGUUAGUUCGCACCAAGCCCACAAAAACCACCCCGUCCCGCCAAGGCUGGGUCUCCCCUGCUUACCUGGACAAAAAACUCAAGGUAUGAAGCUUCCAUCUUAUGUGUUCUGCUGCAAACAUUCCAAUCUUUCUUACAUUUUUUUUGGCAGCUUUCUGCUGACUCGGGCGAUCUCCCUGAAACCAGCACAGAGGAGGUCUCUGAGGGGGAAUACAAGAGAAAGUUAUUGUAAGAGAAGCUCGUUUUAAUGCUGUUUACUCAAUUCAUACUGACAGACCAGCUGUUUCGUCUCUCCAGCCAACUGAUUCAAGAUCUGAUAAACGGAGAGUCGGAAUUCGUCCGGGAAGUGGAUUUCUUCACAUCCCACCACCAGAAGCACGCCGACUCCCCCGACGCCCCUCCUGACAUUUCCACCCAGAAGGAAACCAUUUUCAGGAAUAUUGAUGACAUAAAAACCUUCCACAGCAAGUAAGAUCCCCUCACGGUCACCAGAUUGUUUUGUCUUAAAAACAGAGUCAGAAGAGCGACUGAAAAUAUCUCAUUUCCACUGAGCCAGUUU